Anolis carolinensis (green anole) is the source of this 4677-nucleotide long non-coding RNA. RefSeq lists it as uncharacterized. The record is from RefSeq and is a predicted model, not a curated record. Lineage: Eukaryota; Metazoa; Chordata; Lepidosauria; Squamata; Anolidae. The transcript has 3 exons.
GAAGGGAGGGAGGGCGACGCGCGGAAGGCUCCCUGAGGGGAAUGGCGGCCUCUCUCUCUCGCGCGCUCUCUCUCUCUUCUGAGGGGGAAAGUGUGCACUAAACACCCCCCCCGAGGGAAGGGGCCGGCCUCGAGGCCACGUCCACGCUGCCAUGCCUUGCCUGAGGAAUCUAACCGCAGUGAAUGUGGAGGACGUACUGCAAUUUGCCAUAAUCCCCUUCACCACCUGGAACAGACUAAGCAUGUGCCUUUCAACACUCUAUUAAGAGAAGGAGAUUGAUCCUUUUUCAUAAGAGCUCAGUAUCUACAAGACAGCAAGAUAUGUGCCUGAGAUGUAAUUUCAAUGAAACAAGAACAAACAACGUCCCGAGUACCUUGAAUAAAGCUGGAAUAAAGCUGAAAACCCUUGCCCUUCUUGGCCCAUUAAAAGGGCCAGAAUGGGACUGACCAAGUGGGUGAAGGGAGUAGUGAAUACACCUCACAAUAGGGCAAGGUUUCAACAUGACUAAAGAGGAAGUUGUGAAGCCUCUCUUGAAAAAGACGUCCCUCUAUAUACGUACUGGGCAGUACCCAACAUCUCAUGUUUAGGCAAGCUAAUAGAACUCCAAGGAUUCUUGGAUAAAGCAAAUUACCAAAAUCAGUUUCAUUCAGGUUUUAGACCUGGUUAUGUGACACAAAUUGCUUUUUUACCAAAGUCCCAGUAGCUGACACCCUCACACUAAUCAAACAAAACUUCCCAGAAGACAUCACAGCCCUGUUUCACCAUUUCCUCACCACUAGCUACUUUCAGUGGGACACUGGAUUCUAUGAACAGAAGGAUGGAGUGGCCAUGGGGAGCCCUCUCAGCCCAGUAGUAGCAAAUUUCUAUAUGGAAUACUUUGAAAAACAGGCCCUAGAAACAGCACCAAAAAAGCCAACUGUUUGGUUCAGAUACGUAGAUGACACCUUCACAAUUUGGAGCCAUGGAGAGGAAGAACUCAACAAGUUCCUGGACCAUCUUAACAGCAUCCACCCAAACAUCCAAUUCACCAUGGAAAAAGAAAAGGAAGGAAAACUGCCAUUUCUAAAUGUUCUGGUCAUCCGCAAACCCAAUCAACAAUUGCGCCACACAGUUUACAGAAAACCUACACACACAGAUAGAUACCUUCAUAAAAACUCCAACCAUCACCCUAGUCAAAAAAGGAGCACAAUCAAAUCCCUGACAGACCGUGCACAAAGAAUCUGCAAACCUCACCUCCUCCAAGGUGAACUCAACCACCUAAACUGGGCUCUACAGGCCAAUGGAUACUCCACCACAGACAUCAGAAGAGCUGCAAGGCCAAGAACAAGCCAUAAGAGUCAAGACAAAGAUCCACCCAGAGGAAAGGUGUUCUUACCUUUCAGUGGUUCCCUUAUCAAGGGAACCACUGACCGCAUAGGCAAACUGAUGAAGAAGCACAACUGUCAGGACCCAGGCUACAGAGCACCAAUAACCAUGCGCAGAGGCCAGAUUCUAUCUAAUAUCUUUAUUAAAGGAAUAUAUAAAGUCAAUAAAAACAAGUGAAGAAUAUAGUUCAGAAGUAGACCUUUCAGGAAAGGUCAAAUAUAGUCCAGGAAAACAAUGUCCAAUAUAUGAUAUUAGAGUCCAAAGUUAUAAUCCAAUAAUCCACUCAACCGGGGAAAUGACAGGGUCCUUUAGUCCAAUGGACUUGACAACAAGGCUAGAAGCAAACUAGAUUCUUGGCAAAUAAGAUUUGAUACGAGGCAACAAGAGGCAAGAAGCAAGAACGAGGUCCGUGGCGAGAUCCGGGGACAAGGCAGGCUUGGAACUAGAACAAGGUCCGUGGCAAGGUCCUGGGAACAAAGAACUGGAGUAGCGUAGUCCACACACGAUCUUACUCCUGAAGCUGACGAAUUGACUCCGCAAGGAUUUCCUUGCGGGUAAACACCUAUAUAGGAUCUCGUUUUCCCGCCAAGGAACACUUUCCCUGGGGAACAAGAAGUGAAACCCAUACUGUGUCCAGAUGCAUGACUCCUUAAGAUUUCCCAAGGGAAACAGGCUUAAUCAUCUAAUUGUCUGGCAGCAAUUCUGGCGCUUUGGCGAUUCGCCUCCCUAGCGCCUCUAUCUCGAUUAUAAUUAUCCCGGCGAGAGAACGGGGGAGAUUUCUGCUCAAGGCUUGUUUGGCUGACUUCUUGUGGGCAAACAUCUUGCAGGUGCAGGGGCUCCAAUUCUGGCUGAAACAGUGGGAAACCCAAGUUUUCCUCUUCGUCUGCCACAAUAAUACUAGGAAGGGGACUACAUGGCCCAUGAGACAUCACAACAACCUACAAACUAUCUACAGACCCACAAAGAAAAUCCAACAAAUGCUACGGUCAGCGAAGGACAAGAGGGAUCCUCUCUCCUCUGCAGGAGUCUACCGUAUCCCAUGCAGCUGUGGACAAGUAUACAUAGGGACCACCAAACGCAGCGCCCAAACAAGAGUCAAAGAACAUGAAAGGCACUGCAGACUAAUUCAACCAGAGAAAUCAGCCAUAGCAGAGCAUUUGAUGAACCAGCCUGGACACAGGAUAUUAUUUGAGAACACAAAAAUGCUGGACCAUUCCAACAACUAUUAUGUCAGACUACACAGAGAAGCCAUUGAAAUCCACAAGCAUGUGGACAACUUCAACAGAAAGGAAGAAACCAUGAAAAUGAACAAAAUCUGGCUACCAGUAUUACAAAACUCCAAAAUCAAAACAGUAGAUGGGAACCAACACUUUGAGGGCUUGACUGAACAAAGGAUGCCCCCAGGCAAGACACAAAACAUUUCCAAUGCUAAUUAGGGUGAUUAACUGAAACAUUAAUGCUGGCUCCCAGUGACAAAGGACUCUUGCCACACCCUGGACUCUCCACAGAUAUAUAUUCUUUCCUUUCCUUACUUAGUUUAUCCAUACCUCACAACCUCUGAGGAUGCCUGCCAUAGAUGUGGGCGAAACGUCAGGAGAGAAUACUUCUGGAACAUGGCCACACAGCCCGAAAGACAUACAACAACCCCACAAAUUGCUUUGUUCAUGCUGGUAUAUAACCUCUGCCAGGAACUAGAUAGGGGGAUGUGUCCCUGUUGGAUCUGCCAGACCUCCAGUGGCUUUUGAGAUCAUCAGCUGCAUGUCUUCUAGGGUCCUGUGUGGGAAUGUAACUUGAGGGGGUACCCCAGAAGGUGAUGCUGAGGAUUCUUGUUCAAUUCCUCAGCCAUUGGAUUGUGCCCCCCCUUCCCCACAGAUUGCCAGUAUUGUUGGAGUUAGUUUGGAGUCCUAGGUUUUUGCAAUAGCCAGGUGGUACUUAAAGCUAGUGUCAACAGCCCCCAUUCCUGGAGAUGCUCUGUCUCACCAUGGUGAAACAUGUCGUGGUUGCAUCCUCUUUGGAUUACACACAGGGCUGCCCUCAAAGAGUGUUUGGAAACAUCAGUUGGUACAAAAACCUGGAGGCAGAGUGCAAACGGGCUGGUUACGGAGAUCAUACAAUUCCCUUGUUCCAAAUGCUGCCCUGGCUCCUGCUCUCAUUCUGGACACAAUUCAAAGUGUUGUCUUUGACCUAUAAAGAAAGACAAAAACUGUAAUCGGUAAUCCAAGUAAGAAAGAUUUCUAUUACUUCUUAUCCUGGUAGACAUUUGUUCUCGAUUCAAGAGGGGGAAGUGUUGUUUUUUAAAAAGAAAAAAAGGGAUUUUCUGGCACUCUAAAGGCUAAUAAAUCUUAUUUCACAUAGGACUUCACAUAUUACUGCCUGUUUGCAUCACACAUCUGAAGCGGUGAGCUAGAAUCCAUGAAGGGUCAUGACAGAUAAAACUAGUUAGUCUUUAAGGCAUCUCAAAGCUGUUCUCAGAUUCAUAGCCACAAGGUAAUACUCUUGUGCUGAUGUUUGUGGAAUAUUAACAUACAGAUCUUCACCCCUGAAUGUAUGAAACUAUCUAUGGUUUGAGUGUUGGACUGUGACUGUAAGAGUUAACCCAAUAGUUAACCUUGAACAAAACACAUAUCUUCAGAGGAUGGCAACGGAAAACAUCAGCAGCAUAAAUCUUACCAAGGAACCCCUAUGGUUACCAUAAAUUGGAGUUUACCUAAAGGCACACAAUAAAAAUAAAAUCUGAGUCAUGCCAUUGAUGCCUCUAGCCCCAUACUGUCAACGCUAGCAGGCUAGAGCUUCUUAGAGCAAUUGCUGCUUGUGGUCUUUUGUCACCAGAAAGACUGGGAAUAGUUGGUGAGAAUCGGGCAAUUUUAUAUUAAGAAAAUAAAAAUAGCUUUGGGAUUUAGCCAUUUAUAAUGUAGGUGGGUGUUGUUGUUUUUUGUUUUGGUACAGGCUGAGUAUCCGUUACCUGAAAUGCUUAGGAAGUGGAUACCUAUAUUUGCCUAUAACUUGGAGAUAGAACCCAAGUUUUUAAACAUAAAGUCGUUUAUGCUUCAUACAUAUCACAUAAACAUAGCCUGAAGGUAAUUUUGUACACAAUAUUUUGUGCAAGAAACCAAGUUUACGUGCAUAGAACCAGCACAAAGCAAAGGUGUCACUAUCUCAGCCACCUCUGUAGAUGAUUUUGGAUUUCUUAAUUCCAGCAAAAGAAUGCUCAAUCUGUAUCCUAAAUGCAGUGUUUAGUAUCAGCUGCAGUAUAUCAAUUUAUUCAAUGCAUGAACAGUUUUUUUUAAUUAAAAACACUUAUAAAAGAAGAAA